UCACUACAGUAAUUUCCACACAUUCACAGUUGCUACCAGCAGGGUUUUUCCUUAUUUUAGCCAGUUCUCCCUUAGAUGAGUGA
Small nucleolar RNA from Ursus maritimus (polar bear), 83 nucleotides. Its record names the gene SNORD14. It matches the Rfam family "Small nucleolar RNA SNORD14". From Rfam's summary of the family: U14 small nucleolar RNA (U14 snoRNA) is required for early cleavages of eukaryotic precursor rRNAs. In yeasts, this molecule possess a stem-loop region (known as the Y-domain) which is essential for function. The record is from Ensembl. Lineage: Eukaryota; Metazoa; Chordata; Mammalia; Carnivora; Ursidae.